This 427-nucleotide ribosomal RNA is filed under the name uncultured bacterium. RNAcentral describes it as "partial 16S ribosomal RNA". It matches the Rfam family "Bacterial small subunit ribosomal RNA", at positions 354 to 796 of the family's 1533-position model. The record is from RNAcentral.
GUGGGGAAUAUUGGGCAAUGGGCGCAAGCCUGACCCAGCAACGCCGCGUGAGGGAAGAAGGUUUUCGGAUUGUAAACCUCUGUCGCAAGGGACGAAGAAGUGACGGUACCUUGUGAGGAAGCCCCGGCUAACUACGUGCCAGCAGCCGCGGUAAUACGUAGGGGGCGAGCGUUGUCCGGAAUUACUGGGCGUAAAGGGUGCGUAGGCGGUUGCUUAAGUUGGAUGUGAAAUACCCGGGCUUAACUUGGGGGGUGCAUUCAAAACUGGGCAACUAGAGUUCAGGAGAGGGAAGCGGAAUUCCUAGUGUAGCGGUGAAAUGCGUAGAUAUUAGGAGGAACACCAGUGGCGAAGGCGGCUUUCUGGACUGACACUGACGCUGAGGCACGAAAGCGUGGGGAGCAAACAGGAUUAGAAACCCUGGUAGUCC